Terriglobus saanensis SP1PR4 is the source of this 354-nucleotide non-coding RNA. It matches the Rfam family "transfer-messenger RNA". Rfam says of the family: Bacterial tmRNA, also known as 10Sa RNA or SsrA, is named for its dual tRNA and mRNA-like properties. Its role is to liberate the mRNA from a stalled ribosome. To accomplish this part of the tmRNA is used as a reading frame that ends in a translation stop signal. Lineage: Bacteria; Pseudomonadati; Acidobacteriota; Terriglobia; Terriglobales; Acidobacteriaceae. The record is from Rfam.
GGGGGCGUCACGGCUUCGACGGGAUUGCUUGUGGUAGAGAGGCAUGCCGGGGUGUGGACACCCGUAAUCGCUCACAAAAACUAUAAGUGCCGAACCUCAAUUCGCGCUUGCUGCUUAAUUAAUUAAGUAGCCGUUUUCCAUCGGCUUCGCCUACGGGCUGGUGGCGAGCGUCGCACUGUAGGCUGGUCCAACGCGCUCCGCCUGUGCGCCGAGGAUGAGAUCGAUCAGGCUGGUCUCAGGCGUUUCUUCGUCCGUUCCAAGCGCUCGAGACGAGACUAACGAACGUGAAAAAGCAUGAAAGCUCUCUGCUAUUGGUAGUUUCGGACGUGGGUUCGACUCCCACCGCCUCCACCA